CGUCGUUAGCUCAGUUGGUAGAGCAGUUGACUUUUAAUCAAUUGGUCGCAGGUUCGAAUCCUGCACGACCCACCA
RNAcentral lists this transfer RNA (75 nucleotides) under Klebsiella pneumoniae. Its description in RNAcentral is "tRNA-Lys". It matches the Rfam family "tRNA". Rfam says of the family: Transfer RNA (tRNA) molecules are approximately 80 nucleotides in length. Their secondary structure includes four short double-helical elements and three loops (D, anti-codon, and T loops). Further hydrogen bonds mediate the characteristic L-shaped molecular structure. tRNAs have two regions of fundamental functional importance: the anti-codon, which is responsible for specific mRNA codon recognition, and the 3' end, to which the tRNAs corresponding amino acid is attached (by aminoacyl-tRNA synthetases). tRNAs cope with the degeneracy of the genetic code in two manners: having more than one tRNA (with a specific anti-codon) for a particular amino acid; and 'wobble' base-pairing, i.e. permitting non-standard base-pairing at the 3rd anti-codon position. Lineage: Bacteria; Pseudomonadati; Pseudomonadota; Gammaproteobacteria; Enterobacterales; Enterobacteriaceae. The record is from RNAcentral.